Non-coding RNA from Vicia faba (fava bean), 183 nucleotides. Lineage: Eukaryota; Viridiplantae; Streptophyta; Magnoliopsida; Fabales; Fabaceae. The record is from the annotation of a GenBank genome assembly.
AUGUCAAGAGUCGAAGCAGAACGAAAAAAGGAUAAAAAUGUAAGAAAAGAAGUCCACCAGUACAUAAAACUCGUGGCCAACAAGGUUAGGCCAUGUCAGCAGACACGAGCUGUGUUGGCACCAUCGUCUCUCCCAUAUGAAGAAGUAGAGGACAACAUAGGCAGUCCUUGUUCCCUGACAUAA